GGUGACCUCGUGAACUCCCGGCUCAUCAGCUCCAAAAAGCGUGCCAAAAAGAGUAGGUCGUGGCAGGAUAGUUAAAAUAGGUCGCCGUUUCAAAAUGGGACGUACGCCACCGCUGAUGCCAUAAAAGCACAAAAAAGUAGUAAGUUCCGAACUGACUGAAGUCGGAAAAACUCAUGGAGGAAGGAAACACAUGUUUUUCCUUCCUCCAUGGAAAAACUGCAUUACAGUCGUCCAGUUCCAGAAAUGAAAAAUAUCAAAAAGCCAAGUUAAGCCAUCCAUACGGCCAAUCCAGUGGUCAGUGCCACAGCUCAAGCCACUGGCGCAAAUUGGCGCAAGCCGAGAAGUGAGAAGCCACGCAACAUAUGCACGGAACCACUUGGCAUUACGUACCGUUCCCACUCGAAAAGUGGAAAAUCUAGCGAUCGCGCAAAAAUAGAAGGUCCACUAGACGAACACCUGGACAUCUCUGUUCGAAAUCUCGGCGGCUGCGGACCCCCGACCUGGCGGGGCUUCUUCUUCAAUCUACUACUAUACGUGAAAUAGUAGUUUGCUAUGCGCAAGCACCGUCGUCUGCAACGCGCCGUUAUCGUGCCGUACGCAAAGCAAGUUUUGUGCUCCUGCAACUACAUCAGUUCCCCUAUUUUCAUCCGAAAAUCAAAUUAGGUAAAAAUUUUCAGUGAAAGUUCAUUGCAGCAGCCAUGGAAAACCCGCUGCAGCUACUAGACACUCGACAUAACACCAGGAACCAAAAGCACACAGCGCAGAAACUGAACAACACACGAGCGCCAUACUCCACCUCCGGUGUAACUAGAAACUGUUUGGCAGAAUGUUUGCGCGUGCCAGGUGGCAGGUUUGCGCAGCUUCGAAACCCGUUGUGAAAGUGUGUAUGUCUUGUUUCACCCAAUCAAUUGUCCACACCUGCUGCUGUGCAUGUAGCGCAAGCUUCUGGCCCCCGUGGUGCUAAGGCGAUCACUGUUCAUUGACGUCUUAAUUCGACAGUUAUAUGGGUUUCUCCUGCAAGACCCGCUGGGAGCUGGUUUUGUAGGCGGUCACAAUCCUUGAUAAGCCACCACAGGCUUCAUCCCCAGGAAACCACAUGCAUGGCCCACGUCAACACAUACUAGACAUCAUGCAUAUGCCCUUCUCCAAAUACGGGAGCUGACGGAAAUGCAGAAGUUCCAAGAAAUGUAACCAUCGCAAACCUUUGUCUACGUUUUGUAAUUCCCAUGGUCACAUACACUUUGCUUUCCAGGCCUGAAAUGGAUAAAUAAUCUGCUGGUGGUAGUGAUGGUUGAGUACUGAGAGCGGUAGCAGUAGGUUGCAGCAGGUUUCUGAGGAAAUCUGUUACUGAGAUUAGUGCUUGGUUGACUUUACAAGGGAGCUUACUGGCAUGUGUCUAUGAACACCUCUCUGAAGGAAAUCUGCAGGUACCACAGCUGUCGCUGGACUUGAUUCGCCUACACAUAUUCACCGUGAAUCCUUUGCUGCAUGUGACACACACCAACUGAGCAGAAUAUCUUCAUGUUUGUUCCUACAGACCUGUCUAUCCUUUGAUCUUGUAACAAUCUGGUUAAAUGGAGGUGGGUAGCUUUACGUCUUACUGAAGUCACAUGCCCAUGGUGAUGCCUUCAUGUGUGCCAUAGUUCAUCAUUCAUCAUCAUAGUUCUGUCCAUCAUUCGCAUAUCGUCUGUGCAAGUAAUUAUCUCAAGUGGAGUGCUUUCAUAGAGUUUUUUUUUUAUUUGCAGGGAACACAUACUGCCUGGCAUUUCAGUGCAACACAACAGAAUUGAGUUACGGAUGAGCUUGCAAAUGUGCAUGAAGGCUCACAGCAGCUGCCUCAUAGUUUACCUUGGGGUAAUGCUGGUGCUCGUAUCAUGCAAGGACGUCCGUUUUUCCUGGUGCUCACCUGUGCUUUUCCUGUGGAAAGUUUUACCCGCAAAGGAAGCAUUUGAAGUGUUAAUUUCAUUUUAACGAUGGCUCAGCUUACUGGAUAUUGGUGUAUUGUUGUCUCUUAUAUGGUGCUGUAGAAGACAUUUAUGUUGGACAGACACAUGAUGAAAUGUUUGCCCAAUGAUCCUUCAGCAACUAACUAUACAUAUUAUUUAUAUUCUGUACAUUUCCCAUGGUCUAUGGAAAAGUAACACAUUUCAAGUAUUCUUCAGGUGCACAAUAUUUUCAUCCUUCAGAAUUGCAUGGAUACGCAUACAAAGUAGACAGUACAACAAAAGUUUUCUCAUUCUCAUCCUAUGAGAGCCACAGAAUAUUCCUCAAUUCAAAUUUUCAAAUUCUCCAAUUCCCCAUCAGCGUCUUUCCUGUGUGCUCGGCAUUUUGGGUUCCUCCUCCUUCUUACCUUGAAAGUGUUUGUACUUCCCACGAGGUGAAAUUCCUGGGAAUAUCCUUGGCCACUGGGACUAGCUGUUGCACGCAAAGUGAUACGUUACUCAUUCACAUGCAGUAAUAACACAAGAGGAGCAUUUUCUACGUACCACUGUGCACCCUCUACAGAACACUACCUUGUCAAGUGGCUAUAGGAGGACUCACCACAGUGCCAUAUGGACCACCAAACGCCCAUUCGAGUGCUGCUUGUGCCCAGCUUCCUUUACUCGUAAAGAUAACCUCAAGGUACACAUGAGGAGCCAUGCCGGUGAACGUCCCUUUCCCUGCGCCCUCUGCUGCAAGGCAUUCACUCGCAAGCACACGCUCAACGUACACAUGAAGCGGCACAGGAAGUUUCGGGCGGCAGAAGUCCCCACAUUUGCGGCAAAUAUCUAAACUUAUGUUGCGUGACUCUGUUAUUGAACAGUGACUGAAGUUGGUGACGGUGAGAAAGCACUAAGUGCUCUGCAAAGUUUGUAAGUAGAAUAUCUUCUUGAAGCACUUGCUUAAAGUACAAUAAAAUAGUCUUUGUCGUAUA
This is a long non-coding RNA of Ornithodoros turicata, 2914 nucleotides long. RefSeq lists it as uncharacterized. The record is from RefSeq and is a predicted model, not a curated record. The transcript has 2 exons. Lineage: Eukaryota; Metazoa; Arthropoda; Arachnida; Ixodida; Argasidae.